Molecule: long non-coding RNA, 357 nt
Organism: Ipomoea nil (Japanese morning glory)
Lineage: Eukaryota; Viridiplantae; Streptophyta; Magnoliopsida; Solanales; Convolvulaceae
Exons: 3
Source: RefSeq, a predicted model, not a curated record
AAUCCUGGACGCCAAAUAUGAUGAAUCUCAGAAUACACAUACAAGAGUGUCUACAUAAGACAGGCUUGGGCAGCCUCAUAGUCUAUAACUUUAGAAAAUGAAAUCAUGUUGGUGACUUUGAAAAUAUUUUAAAUUAGCUUAGGAAGCUGCUAGUCUCAGCUCUCAAGUAUUGAAGAUCUACAGGGUAUCGAAUGAAAGAUUUUACAGUGAUCGAGCUAUUGAAUGCGUGCUCUAGACUAGAGAUGCAUCGUGUUCUUGAAAUGACUUGCAGAACCUGCAAAAAUCGUAUUCUUCAAAAUCCAAGAACCUGAAUAUGAUGAAUCACAUAUAGAAGAGUGUAUAGAUGACGACUUGGAU